AUUGAACGCUGGCGGCAUGCUUUACACAUGCAAGUCGAACGGUAACAGGCCGCAAGGUGCUGACGAGUGGCGGACGGGUGGGUAAUGCAUCGGAACGUGCCCAGUCGUGGGGGAUAACUACUCGAAAGAGUAGCUAAUACCGCAUACGAUCUAUGGAUGAAAGCGGGGGAGCGUAAGGCCUCGCUCGAUUGGAGCGGCCGAUGUCAGAUUAGGUAGUUGGUGGGGUAAAGGCUUACCAAGCCAACGAUCUGUAGCUGGUCUGAGAGGACGACCAGCCACAGUGGGAGUGAGACACGGCCCAGACACCUGCGGGAGGCAGAAGUGGGGAAUUUUGGACGAUGGGCGCAAGCCUGAUCCAGCAAUGCCGCGUGCAGGAAGAAGGCCUUCGGGUUGUAAACUGCUUUUGUACGGAACGAAACGGCUCUGGUUAAUACCCGGGGCUAAUGACGGUACCGUAAGAAUAAGCACCGGCUAACUACGU
This 481-nucleotide ribosomal RNA is filed under the name uncultured bacterium. RNAcentral describes it as "partial 16S ribosomal RNA". It matches the Rfam family "Bacterial small subunit ribosomal RNA", at positions 30 to 506 of the family's 1533-position model. The record is from RNAcentral.